CACGCCGGCCCCGGGCGGGCGCGAUCCGAGCUGGACGAGGAGCCGGGCGGACGCGCCGACAGGCCGGGCGGACGCGGGCGGCGCGAUCUGCCACACUUCUGCCUGCUGUUGGCAACCCUCCUGGGCUAGGCUGCUCAUUAAUCACAUGGAUGUUGUGAGUAUUAUGUUAACAAGUGAGUGUAGAGAUGAUAUUUUGAUCCUUACCACGUGAGCUACUCAU
This 220-nucleotide long non-coding RNA is filed under the name Dasypus novemcinctus (nine-banded armadillo). RNAcentral describes it as "lncRNA (ENSDNOG00000052927.1)". Lineage: Eukaryota; Metazoa; Chordata; Mammalia; Cingulata; Dasypodidae. The record is from RNAcentral.